AAUGAACGUUGGCGGCGUGGAUUAGGCAUGCAAGUCGAGCGUACCCAGCAAUGGGGAAGCGGCAAACGGGGUAGUAAGGCGUCGGUACGUGCCCUCGGGACGAGGAUAGCCACGGGAAACUGUGGGUAAUACUCGAUGACAUCGUGAGAUCAAAGGUGUGAUUCCGCCCGGGGAGCGGCUGACGUGGUAUUAGGUAGUUGGUGGGGUAAUGGCCCACCAAGCCUGGGAUGCCUAGGGGGUGUGAGAGCAUGGGCCCCCACCAUUGGGACGUGAGAUACUGCCCACGACACCUACGGGUGGGCUGCAGUCGAGAAUCUUCCGCAAUGGGCGGAAAGACCUGACGGAGCGACGCCGCGUGGUGGAUGAAGGCCCUUGGGUUGUAAACACCUGUCAGAGGGGGAGUGAAAUACAUGGUUUGGGCAAUCCUUCCAUGUUGACAGAGCCUCAGAGGAAGCACGGGCUAAGUACGUG
RNAcentral lists this ribosomal RNA (471 nucleotides) under uncultured bacterium. RNAcentral's name for it is "bacterial SSU rRNA". It matches the Rfam family "Bacterial small subunit ribosomal RNA", at positions 28 to 507 of the family's 1533-position model. The record is from RNAcentral.